Molecule: ribosomal RNA, 492 nt
Filed under: uncultured bacterium
Lineage: Bacteria
Description: partial 16S ribosomal RNA
Rfam family: Bacterial small subunit ribosomal RNA
Source: RNAcentral
GAUGAACGCUGGCGGCGUGCCUAACACAUGCAAGUCGAACGGAAAGACAGUGAGCUUGUGCCCUUAACGGUAGCGGCUGGCGGGCGAGUAACGAGUGGAUCAGCUACUUCUUUUUCGGGGAUAAUAACGGAAAGAAGGUUACAAUACUACAGCAUAUGAUGAACCGGAGGGGUCAAUGGAGAAUCACGGCUUUGGCGGUUGGAAUAGCCGGUGUCGGACUAGCUAGUUGGGUGGGUAAAGGCAUAGCAAGGCGACGAUACGUAGCGUAGCUGAGAGGAUGAUCGGCCACACUGGAACUGAGACACGGUCCAGACUCCUACGGGAGGCAGCAGUAGGGAAUAUUGGGCAAUGGGCGCAAGCCUGACCCAGCAAUACCGCGUGGGUGAAGAAGGCCUUCGGGUCGUAAAGCCCUGUUGUUGGGAAAGAACAGCUGUAGAUUAAGACCCAGCCGUUCUGACGGUACCCAAUGAAUAAGCACCGGCUAACUACGUG